CCCAACUAUCCCUAUUAAUCAUUACGGUGAUCCUAGAAACCAACGAAAUAGAACCAAGCCGUCCUAUUUCAUUAUUCCAUGCUAAUAUAUUCAGACGUUAGCCUGCUUUAAACACUCUAAUUUUUUCAAAGUAAUAGUCCUGAUUUCCAAUCACACCAAAUAAAUGGCAUGAAAGUUCCUCAGAAGGUAGAGAUUUAUCUCACCAGUACAGACAAUUAAGCCUGACCAAUGGGUAAACCCCGAAGUUCAACUACGAGCUUUUUAACUGCAACAACUUUAAUAUACGCUAUUGGAGCUGGAAUUACCGCGGCUGCUGGCACCAGACUUGCCCUCCAA
Molecule: unclassified non-coding RNA, 336 nt
Filed under: uncultured Diversisporaceae
Lineage: Eukaryota; Fungi; Glomeromycota; Glomeromycetes; Diversisporales
Also listed under: 1 other name
Description: sequence contains 18S rRNA gene
Source: RNAcentral